GACGAACGCUGGCGGCGUGCCUAAUACAUGCAAGUCGAACGCUUCUUUCCUCCCGAGUGCUUGCACUCAAUUGGAAAGAGGAGUGGCGGACGGGUGAGUAACACGUGGGUAACCUACCCAUCAGAGGGGGAUAACACUUGGAAAUAGGUGCUAAUACCGCAUAAGCGCACGGUACCGCAUGGUACAGUGUGAAAAACUCCGGUGGUAUACGAUGGACCCGCGUCUGAUUAGCUAGUUGGUGAGGUAACGGCCCACCAAGGCGACGAUCAGUAACCGGCCUGAGAGGGUGAACGGCCACAUUGGGACUGAGACACGGCCCAA
This 321-nucleotide ribosomal RNA is filed under the name uncultured bacterium. RNAcentral describes it as "bacterial SSU rRNA". It matches the Rfam family "Bacterial small subunit ribosomal RNA", at positions 28 to 334 of the family's 1533-position model. The record is from RNAcentral.